RNAcentral lists this ribosomal RNA (600 nucleotides) under uncultured bacterium. RNAcentral's name for it is "bacterial SSU rRNA". It matches the Rfam family "Bacterial small subunit ribosomal RNA", at positions 92 to 678 of the family's 1533-position model. The record is from RNAcentral.
UAAGCGGCGGACGGGUGCGUAACACGUGGAUNCUGCUUCUGGCGGGGAAUAACAGUCCGAAAGGAUUGCUAAUGCCGCAUGUGUCUGUGAGGUUUCCGGAUUUCACAGAGAAAGAGGGCGCCCGCAAGGGGCUCUCACCAGAAGAUGAGUCCGCGUCCCAUCAGCUAGUUGGUGAGGUAACGGCUCACCAAGGCAACGAUCGAUAGGGGGUCUGAGAGGAUGAUCCCCCACACUGGUACUGAGACACGGACCAGACUCCUACGGGAGGCAGCAGUAAGGAAUAUUGGACAAUGGGGGCAACCCUGAUCCAGCCAUGCCGCGUGAAGGAUUAAGGCCCUAUGGGUCGUAAACUUCUUUUAUACGGGACAAAACCCCUCUACGUGUAGAGGGUUGAUGGUACUGUAAGAAUAAGGGUCGGCUAACUUCGUGCCAGCAGCCGCGGUAAUACGAAGGACUCGAGCGUUAUCCGGAUUUAUUGGGUUUAAAGGGUGCGUAAGCGGACUUAUAAGUCCAGUGGUGAAAGCCCCAAGCUUAACUUGGGACUGCCAUUGAAACUAUUUGUCUUGAGUACAUUUGAGGCGGGCGGAAUGUGUCCUGGUA